GGAAAUCAUUACUUUGGCUUCCUGUCUGCCACCCCAUUGACUGCCACUGUUGACAAGGCUGAUCAGUCUGACUAGUUGGGUGUCUCCUUCCUUUCUCAUUGUCCCAUUGUGUCCUUCUGGAAGCUGAGUGCUCUGCAGAAAGGGAUGACCUUUCAUGGUAGUGGAGUGCCUGCAUCAGUAGAGAGUGUAUGGGUGAUUGCACUCCCAUUAGAUCCUCCAAACAGGCUCUUAGGGUCCAAAUAUGACCUCACACACAGCACAUCAUUCAUUGUUAAUGAUUCCAAGUAAGAGUCAUCUGA
RNAcentral lists this small nuclear RNA (299 nucleotides) under Neotoma lepida (desert woodrat). RNAcentral's name for it is "7SK RNA". It matches the Rfam family "7SK RNA". Rfam says of the family: 7SK was discovered as an abundant small nuclear RNA in the mid-70s but a possible function has only recently been suggested. Two independent studies have found that 7SK RNA binds the CDK9/cyclin T complex (known as elongation factor P-TEFb). P-TEFb activates transcription by phosphorylating the C-terminal domain of RNA polymerase II. The record is from Rfam by way of RNAcentral. Lineage: Eukaryota; Metazoa; Chordata; Mammalia; Rodentia; Cricetidae.